CCUACGGGUGGCAGCAGUAGGGAAUCUUCCACAAUGGGCGAAAGCCUGAUGGAGCAACGCCGCGUGGGUGAAGAAGGUCUUCGGAUCGUAAAACCCUGUUGUUAGAGAAGAAAGUGCGUGAGAGUAACUGCUCACGUUUCGACGGUAUCUACCCAGAAAGCCACGGCUAACUACGUGCCAGCAGCCGCGGUAAUACGUAGGUGGCAAGCGUUAUCCGGAUUUAGUGGGCGUAAAGGGAACGCAGGCGGUCUUUUAAGUCUGAUGUGAAAGCCUUCGGCUUAACCGGAGUAGUGCAUUGGAAACUGGGAGGCUUGAGUGCAGGAGAGGGGGGUAGAACUCCAUGUGUAGCGGUGAAAUGCGUAGAGAUGUGGAGGAACACCGGAGGCGAAGGCGGCUCUCUGGGCUGUAACUGACGCUGAGGUUCGAAAGCGUGGGUAGCAAACAGGAUUAGAUACCCGUGUAGUC
This 465-nucleotide ribosomal RNA is filed under the name uncultured bacterium. RNAcentral's name for it is "partial 16S ribosomal RNA". It matches the Rfam family "Bacterial small subunit ribosomal RNA", at positions 338 to 795 of the family's 1533-position model. The record is from RNAcentral.